GACGUAGGGGGCAAGCGUUGUUCGGAAUCAUUGGGCGUAAAGCGCACGUAGGCGGUUCGUUAUGUCGGAUGUGAAAGCCCUUGGCUUAACCGAGGAAGUGCAUCCGAAACUGGCGAGCUAGAGUACGAAAGAGGAUCGCGGAAUUCCCGGUGUAGAGGUGAAAUUCGUAGAUAUCGGGAGGAACACCGGUGGCGAAGGCGGCGAUCUGGGUCGAUACUGACGCUGAGGUGCGAAAGCGUGGGGAGCAAACAGG
Molecule: ribosomal RNA, 253 nt
Filed under: uncultured bacterium
Lineage: Bacteria
Description: partial 16S ribosomal RNA
Rfam family: Bacterial small subunit ribosomal RNA
Source: RNAcentral